UCAAUUGCCCUAGUUUCAUAUUUUGAAGUCUAAUAUCACUUUUGGUUCAAAAUUUCAGGACAAUAUCUCUUGAUAUACCAUCACCGCUUGAUUAAGCUUUAUCAAAUGUUUUAUCUUGAGUACUGCAGAUGGUUUUUUGUACUUGAUUGGUGACAGGAGAAGAGUAAUUGCCAUAAGUUUCAGAUGGGAUCAAGAGCAAUUUUCAUUUUUUUCUUUCCUGUCUUAUACUGUUGAAACCAAUAUAGGGUUGCAAGAUCCUCUGGUCAUGCACAAUAACCAUCAUCUUACAUUGGCCACAUAGUAGUUACACGACGUAUCUAAGACUAGACGAACAUGAUUUUAGAGACCUUUAGAAUUCAGGCUCCAAUUGCAAUUGAAACAUUUAAAGUCGUACCUGUAUGUCAUUCUUGGAGCUCACACCAACAACCCCCUUAGAUAAAAAUAAACCUGGGGCAGGAUUUGUCCUUCGUUGAAAGUCGUUAUGUCUUUUACAAAUAGGAAGGGGGCUUUUGGUGGAUUGUCAAGCAAUUUCAUUAUUUUAUUUUCGCUAAUUUCAUUAUCUUAUUUUCAUCUUGGGCAGGAAUCGAUCUUAGCCAGUUCGUUCCACCACCGAUUUCCUUUAGUUGGCCACUGCCCAGUUGAGAAUUUGAAACGUCCCUCUGCAUAGGCAACAAGACGCUCCUUCCAUUUCCGCAUUUUGCUAAAAGGAAACAAAUUCAAAAGAAUUGAGCUUUCCUUCCAUUCGUAAAAAGCAUGCUUUAUUAGUAUUAUAUAAGUUUUGUCAGAGAACAAGUACACACCUUGAAGGAACAGAAAAACACUAACCCAACCAACUGAGAAAUAGGCAAAACCCUUUGCCACGAAGAUCUGAAAAUAGAAACAAAACUUGUAAGCAUUCAAUAUUUUCAUACCAUAUAUCUACAAGAAAUAACUACACAAAAAAUAUCUACCGAGCCUACCUGAUUGUCUAGCAAGAUAACAGUGAUUAAAUCCACUUACAUUUUUGCCAAAAAAGGCUUCUGUACGAGUCUUGUCAAUAAAAGUUGCCAACUUGGCAAAGAGCGCAGGAGAGUUUGUUGCAAUUAUUCUUUUGGGUGAUGCCCACUUAAUGCAGCCUAAACAUGGCUGACACAAGUGUAACAAAAUAUCCCUUCAUCUAUUUUACUUCUUGGUUUACACUUCUCUCUUGUUUACUCUUAGUUUGUUUGUUAAUUUCUUUUUCUUGUUUUCUUCUUUUUUCUUAUUUAACAAUUUUAUUUCUUUUUUAUAUCUUUCUGACUAGAGUAUUUGUAUGUUUUGCCACUUUAUAAAGUGCAGAUCAAUUGUUCGCGGCAUAUUAUGAUAGUUUUUUCAACUUCUGGCAGCAAUUCCACCAAUGAAUUUUUGUAUAUGAAAUGGAUUUCUAAGAAGAGAAAUAAUGAAUGUAAUGUAUAUUAUUGUAAUGUUGAUAUUAUGGAUGAUAACUAACAACGAUAAGAGUGGUACAAUGAAGUGCAUGCAAAUUUAAUCAGCUUAUGGCAUUUGGAGGAAAUCUAACGGUUCUUUUUUAUUUUAAUCUUUUUUUAUACUUCAUACUCCAUCAUUAGCUACAAGAAGGAUGAUAAAUUAAUAGACAAUCUUCUUGACUGUGUGCAUGUUUGUAUUGGCCUUGCACUUGCUACAGUCUCUCUGGAAAAGGGAACAGGGUUUUGUUUAGGCCGAGAAUGCAUUCGAUCUCUAAUCGCAUCAAUUUUUGACCGAUAUUUGAAGCGCCUUGCAAGCUUCAUCGAAUCGGUGAGGGAAGAUGUUUGAGAAGAUGUCACCAGCUGUGGCUCGGGUUGCCUUUCCUCAGCAACAGGUGGGUUGAUGGCUGGGACGGUCACAGUGCUUGUUCCUUUCUGAAAAGAAAGGUCAUAAGAAACUUGGGUCAUAAGCCUGAACAUAGCUGACACAAGUUUCGCAAAAUAUCCUUUUUUCUUGUGUUAUCCUUUUCUCUUGUUUACUCUUUAGGUCUUUUUAUUUUCUUUUCCUUGUUUUGUUCUUUUUUCUUAUUUAACAAUUUUUUUUCUUUUUUAUAUCUUUCUGACUAGAGCAUUUGUAUGUUUUGCCACUUUAUAAAGUGCAGAUCAAUUGUUCCCGGCAUAUUAUGAUAGUUUUUUCAACUUCUGGCAGCAAGUCCACCAAUGAUCUUUUGAGUAUGUAAUGGAUUAUUAAGAAGAGAGCCGAUAAAUGUAACAUAAUAUAUUGUUAUAAUGAUAUUGUGGAUGAUGACUUAAAGUGAUAAGAGUGGUAGAAGGAUAUGCAUAUACAAUCAGGUUAUGCAUUUGGAGGAAAUCUAAUGGUUCUUUUUAUUUCAAUGCAUCAAUCUCCAUCAUUAGUUGCAAGAGUGGUGAUAAAUUAAUGGUAUACGGUAUAAUUUUUUCAUUGAAUCGGAAAAAAGAAACAGGACGUUUUUGUUCUUUCAGGAGUUUAUGCCUAGGGUUAUCUUUGUAUCCCUACAAUAGUUUUUAAUCUAACUUUCAAAUUGCAACAGGCUGCUCAUUUCUUGUCUUAUCUUUGGGACACAUUUCACACCUUAGCAUCUUCAUAGGCCAUUUCUUGUGAUCUCAAGAUCAGUUCUUGAUAUUUGCAGGUCAUUAAUUGCCCUAGUUUCAUAUUUUGAAGUCUAAUAUCACUUUUGGUUCAGGAUUUCAGGACAUUUUCUUUUUAUAUACCAUGACCGCUCGAUUAAACUUUAUCAAAUGUUUUUGUUUUAAAUACUGCAGAUGGUUUUUUGUACCUGAUUGGCGACAUGAUAAAAGUAAUUGCCCCAGAUUUCCUGAGGGGAUCAAGACCAUCCUUAAAUUUUUCCUUUUCUAUCUUGUACUGUUGAUCCCAAUAUAGGGUUGCAAGAUCCUCUGGUCAUGCACAAUAACCAUAAUCUUACAUUGGCCACAUAGUAGUUACACGACGUAUCUAAGACUAGACGAACAUGAUUUUAGAGACCUUUAAGAGAAUUCAGGCGCCAAUUGCAAUUGACACAUUUAAAGUCGUACCUGUUUUUCAUCCUUGGAGCUCACACCAACAACCCCCUUAGAUAAAAAAAACCUGGGGCAGGAUUUGUCCUUCGCUGAAAGUCGUUAUGUCUUUUACAAAUAGUAAGGGGGCUUUUUGGUGGAUUGUCAAGCAAUUUCAUUAUCUUAUUUUCGUUAAUUUCAUUAUCUUAUUUUUAUCUUGGGCAGGAAUCGAUCUUAGCCAGUUCGUUCCACCACCGAUUUCCUUUAGUUGGCCGCUGCCCAGUUGAGAAUUUGAAACGUCCCUCUGCAUAGGCAACAAGACGCUCCUUCCAUUUCCGCAUUUUGCUAAACGGAAACAAAUUCAAAAGAAUUGAGCUUUCCUUCCAUUCGAAAAAAGCAUGCUUUAUUAGUAUUAUAUAAGUUUUAUCAGAGAACAAGUACACACCUUGAAGGAACAGAAAAAAACUAACCCAACCAACUGAGAAAUAGGCAAAACCCCUUGCCACGAAGAUCUGAAAAUAGAAACAAAACUUGUAAGCAUUCAAUAGUUUCAUACCAUAUAUCUACAAGAAAUAACUACACAAAAAAUAUCUACCGAGCCUACCUGAUUGUCUAGCAAGAUAACAGUGAUGAAAUUCACUUACAUUUUUGCCAAAAAAGGCUGCUUUACAAGACUUGUCAACUUUUGUUGACAAGACACCUGAAAAGAUGGUAUGUUCAAGGCUGAAAAAAACAUAAAAAACAUUGAUAAAUACAAAAUGAAGACGAAUAGGAAGAGGGCUUCUUAGUGGACUGUCUAGCAAGAUAACAGUGAUGAAAUUCACUUACAUUUUUGCCAAAAAAGGCUGCUUUACAAGACAUUUCAACUUUUGUUGACAAGACACCUGAAAAGAUGGUAUGUUCAAGGCUGAAAAAAACAUAAAAAACAUUGAUAAAUACAGAAUGAAGACGAAUAGGAAGAGGGCUUUUUAGUGGAUUGUCUAGCAAGAUAACAGUGAUAAAAUUCACUUACAUUUUUGCCAAAAAAGGCUGCUUUACGAAUCUUGUCAACAAAAGUUGACAAGACACCCCGAACGAUGAUUUUUUCAAGGCUGAGAAAGAAAUAAACUCAUUUUUGCCAAAAUAGGCUUCUUUACGAAUCUUGUCAAUAAAAGUUGCCAACUUGGCAAAGAGCGCAGGAGAGUUUGUUGCAAUUAUUCUUUUGGGUGAUGCCCACUUAAUGCAGCCUAAACAUGGCUGACACAAGUGUAACAAAAUAUCCCUUCAUCUAUUUUACAUCUUGGUUUACACUUCUCUCUUGUUUACUCUUAGUUUGUUUGUUAAUUUCUUUUUCUUGUUUUCUUCUUUUUUCUUAUUUAACAAUUUUCUCUCUUUUUAUAUCUUUCUGACUAGAGUAUUUGUAUGUUUUGCCACUUUAUAAAGUGCAGAUCAAUUGUUCGCGGCAUAUUAUGAUAGUUUUUUCAACUUCUGGCAGGAAUUCCACCAAUGAAUUUUUGUAUAUGAAAUGGAUUUCUAAGAAAAGAAAUAAUGAAUGUAAUGUAUAUUAUUGUAAUGUAUAUUAUUGUAAUGUUGAUAUUAUGGAUGAUAACUAACAACGAUAAGAGUGGUACAAUGAAGUGCAUACAGAUUUAAUCAGGUUAUGGCAUUUGAAGGAAAUCUAACGGUUCUUUUUUAUUUUAAUCUUUUUUUAUACUUCAUACUCCAUCAUUAGCUACAAGAAUGGUGAUAAAUUAAUAGACGGACAUCUAUUUGACGAAAAUCUUCUUGACUGUGUUCAUGUUUGUAUUGGCUUUGUACUUGCUACAGUCUCUCUGGAAAAGGGAACAGGGUUUUGUUUAGGCCAAGAAUGCAUUCGAUCUCUAAUUGCGUCAAUUGUUGACCGAUAUUUGAAGCGCCUUGCGAGCUUCAUCGAAUCGUCGAGGGAAGAUGUUUGGGAGGAUGUCACCAGCUGUGGCUCGGGUUGCCUUUCCUCAGCAACAGGUGGGUUGAUGGCUGGGACGGUCACAGUGCUUGUUCCUUUCUGAAAAGAAAGAUCAUAAGAAACUUGGGUCAUGAGCCUGAACAUGGCUGACACAAGUGUCGCAAAAUAUCCUUUUUUCUUGUGUUAUCCUUUUCUCUUGUUUACUCUUAGUUAUUUUGUUAAUUUCUUCUCCUUGUUUUGUUCUUUUUUCUUAUUUAACAAUUUUCUCUCUUUUUAUAUCUUUCUGACUAGAGUAUUUGUAUGUUUUGCCACUUUAUAAAGUGCAGAUCAAUUGUUCGCGGCAUGUUAUGAUAGUUCUGUAACUUCUGGCAGCAAGUCCACCAAUGAUUUUUUGAGUAUGUAAUGGAUUAUUAAGAAGAGAGCCGAUAAAUGUAACAUAAUAUAUUGUUAUAAUGAUAUUGUGGAUGAUGACUUAAAGUGAUAAGAGUAGUAGAAUGACAUGCAUAUACAAUCAGGUUAUGGCAUUUGGAGGAAAUCUAACGGCUCUUUUUUAUUUCAAUGCAUCAAUCUCCAUCUUUAGCAACAAGAAUGGUGAUAAAUUAAUGGUACACAGUAUAAUUUUUCAUUUAAUUGGAAAAAUAAGCAUGAUAUUUUUGUUCUUUCAGGAGUUAAUGCCUAGGGUUAUCUUUGUAUCCCCCAAAAUAAUAUUUAACCUAAUUUUCAAAUUGCAGCAGUCUUCUCAUUUGGCCAAAGGCCGCCAUUGCAGCUCUUCGAGAGAAAUAUCGAAAAGACGGAGUUAUAUUCGAGAUAAAAACUCUACAUGAUAUACAAGAUUGCUUGUUUACACGGUAGAACUUGUUCUGAAUUCAUGAACCGACAUUGACGAAAAUACGUACCACGAAGCAGGGCCAAUGCCAUGGAUCUCGAGUAGAUUUGCCACUUGAAAUUCGGAACAAAUUUGAGCUUCGGAGCCAAUCAGAUUGCAGAAUUUUGGAACAAGCUAGAAACUCAAUUUGUUUUCAUAGAAUUUACUUACGUGUUUUUUUACCAAAAAAUGCUGCUAGAAGAAUCAGUAUGGUAUGUUAUUCCCAGAAGCUGAAAAACAUUAAAAAAACUUAUAGAUACGAAAUGAUGACAAAUAGGUAGGGGGCUUUUUAGUGGAUUGUUAAGCAGGAUUAAGCAUUGGUUAAAGGGAGGUCAUCUGCAGAGCUCAGGAUGAAGACUGGAGAGCUGGAGACUCGCGGCUGUGUAGACACAGGAAUGGCUGAUUGGGGCACAACUGCUGCUGCUAUUUGAGUGACAGUGGUCGCCAACGAUUUCGAUGCUUGUGAGCUAGAUUUAUUAGCUGUUCUGCGAAUUUUGGCCUCCCCUGCUCUGCUCUGUUUGUCGGAUCAGAAUACGUCACUGGUUCAGCAUGAGUUAGCUGUCGCUUCGUUGGUCUAGGCACCGGUAGAGGAGUUGUUGCAAUUGCUACACACUACCGAGCAAAGCUCUCCCUUGCAGAAGCAUUUUAACCUCUUCGCACCGAGUCUUUUUUUUGAACCAACGACUUAUCUGGGCCUCAUUCAGAUUGUACAGAAAAUGCCACUCGGAAGCUGUUUGCUGCUUGCAAAAUCUGCAGGAGUACGUCUUCCGGUCCUUUAUUCAUUGGCAACGUCCGGUACAGCAUCAGCAACAUUGUUUGCAGUUUGGCUGUAGGACCACCCGAAACUAAUGCUUUUCGUAUAAGCACUUUUGCCAGUUCAUUCAACUAACUUCACUCACGUACAGAAGUUGCAUCACCUUUAAUGUAUCCCCGCGUGUCUCUUUUCCCCGACACGCUAGAUUUUAAAACUUUUCGUGCUUUUUCGCGGCCUUCUACAACAUCACGUUAACCACGUGACAUUCUGUGCUUUUUUAAACUCGCUUACUUGUCUGAUCAGUCCAGAUUUUACUUGCUUCGUACAAGAUUGGUGAGUCAAUUUUCAAUAAUUGUAUUCAUUUGUAAUUUUCCCUUCUUGCACAGAUUCAGUUAGUAUAUCUAAUGUAUGUAUCGCGUAAACUAUUAGCGGAAUCAUUGAUUCUAUCAAAAAUUGAUUACAACGACUAUGUUUAUUCACCUUUGAGCCAACAGCAGUUGAAAAAACUGCAGCGACUACAGAAGGCUGUGGCAAGCUUCGUACUUAAAAGUUAUGCCCAUAAAAAAGAUAUCUUGAAACUUGGUUGGCUACCAAUUGCAGAAAGACGGGAAUUCAACCUAUUAAAACUGACUUUCAAGGCAAUUCACAACACUAACUGGCCUACAAUUAAUAAACUCGAGCUGCAAACUUGUAACAAAGUACUGCGAAGUAGUAACGAAACUCGUAUAAGGCCAUCACUAAUAGCAGAUACUUUUGAAGAUGCCAUUGCAAAGUGCUUUAAUGCCUUACCUGGACCUAUAAAAUCUAAGUCUAGCUUUACGAUAUUUUGUUCCAACUUAAAGAAGCAUUUAUUUGAAAAAGCGAGCAACAAAUUGGACUAAAAAACAUUAUUUCUUCUUUUUUUUAUAAAUAUGUAACUGUUGUUAACUUUUGAACCUGUAAUUUGACUUUGCUUUUAAUUUUAGAGUUGAAGAGCCACACUUGUAGUGGAUAUGCCCGAUUGUACCAUUAUUAUUAUUAUUAUUAUUAUUAUUAUUAUUAUUAUUAUUAUUAUAUUAUAUUUUUAUUAUUAUUAUUAUUAUUAUUAUUAUAUUAUAUUUUUAUUAUCAUUAUUAUUAUUAUUAUUAUUAUGGCUAAUUAAGUGAUUCACAGACACCUAGAUGUUAAUUGGUCCGGAUAAUAUAGGAGGGAGCAGUCAGCAACAAGCUGACAAAGGUCCCAUUCUGUCAUCUCAAGUUUAUAUAGACAAUGUCUGUCUCAAAAUCCUGGCUGUUCCUAGCACUUUACAUCCAUUACCUGUAACUUUACAUCAAUUCCGAUCUUUUCCAUGUGCUCUUCAAAACAAUAUGAUACACACCCUAAUGCCCCAAUCACAACAAUUAUUAUUAUUAUUAUUAUUAUUAUUAUUGUUAUUAUUAUUAUUAUUAUUAUUAUUAUUAUGUCUAGCUUGAGGUUAGCAGCAAUCUAUUUCUCUUUUAAAAGCACUUUAUUUAUUUUUUAUUUGCAAUAUACAAUUUUCUUUUAACGUUAAACUCCCCAUGUAUCCUCAGAUAGGUCCAUAGCCAUUAGAGUUGACGGCUGCCUCUCCAAACUCAGUUAAUGCGGCUGUUCCACAGGGUUCUGUCAUAUAGCCUGUUUUAUUUUCCCUUUACAUCAAUGAUCCACUAACUUCCACCGCUACAAGUAUAAAUUCUUUUGCCGAUGACACUUUCAUUGCUCUGUCCACAUAACCACAUAACUUUGCUACCAACGCCCCUCUUUAAAGAAAUAUUUCAGUCUCGUUUCUCACAGAUGACUUGGCAGUCAUUUAGAGGCGUGGUAAAGACAAUCUCGUUACAUUUUAUCAGACUAAAGCCAUGCAGGCUGUCAUUUCAUUCAAACGCAACCCUGACUUUCCCACUGUUUCAAUGAAUGGUGCUGAUUUUGACAUUUCUACUUUUUUCACGACUAGACCUUUCAGUGUCAUCCAGCCCUAAGUGAAAAUCUCACAUUUAUUCUGUUGCUUAACAUCUAGUCUCAUCAUCACACAUUUUGACAGUUUAUAAAUCCUAAACGCCAGCCUUCCUUGGAGUACUGUUCUCAUGUUUGGGGUCGUGCUUAUAAAUCUUCCCUGUGCCUACUUGACAAAAUCCAAUCGAAAGCAAUUUGCCUCAUCGUUAACUGCAACCUCACAAGGUCUCUUCAACGUCUCUUAAUGGCGCAGUGUCGCCAAUCUCUCAAUUAUAUUCAAAAUACCUUACUAUGAAUGAAAAUAAUGUUGACGCUUAAGUAGUCCAGUCAGAGAAAGGAAGCCUAGGUCUGCAUCGUAUGGGGAAGCAAACGGUUGCGACUCAGAGUUGAGAAAAUUAUCGAACAAUUCAAAAAGAUAAAUUGUUUUUAUCUCCCCCAUUGACCAUGGCUAACAACCUUGUAUAAAUUAGCACAAUCCAUCGCUUUGGGUAGUCUCACAAAACACAUGGCAGAUCAUAUUACUUUGAAAAUGCAUUUGAAAGACACAAUUUGGCAUUAAUGAUAUAAAGCCUGCAGAGGUUUUAUAUUGCUCUGGUAUUUCAAGUGGAACACUGGCACUGUGUCACCGUUUCAUGCAGUCAAAAAUUCACUGUUGCCUGCAACCAAUGCUUUCUCUGAUACUGUCUCUGAUAUUUUUGUUUCGUUUUUUUGCAGCAGAAGCAUUUUCAGAUGGUUUAAUCGAGACAAUGAUAGAUUUUUUGAAGCAUCAGUGCCUCAAAGCUGAUGCUGAUGCUGAUGCUGGUAGGAACAUACCACUAACCAAUGAUAUCAGUUCUUAUCCAAGCAGGUUAUUCAGUGGUUUUACCAUCCCUGAAAACCAAGCACAAGUUCCUAUUUCUGCCAACAGGCUUAAACCUAUUUUGCCUAUAACCGUAAGGUCACCCAUAAUUUUCGAAGCUCAUUGGAGGCCUUUUUAACUCCCCUGAUUAACAUUCGUAGCAUAAGGCCAAUAGAAAAUAAUCCCAUUUGAGUUACCCCUAGUCGGCCAACAGUAUAUCUACUUUAGAGAAGCUUACAGACUUAUUAUGAAUGAAUUUCAUUAUGAAUAAAAAAAUCUCCAAGGGACCAUGUUAGAAACAUGCUCAAGAGGACGUAUGAUUAUGUUAAUCAGGAACAAAGUUCUGACCGCCAUUUUUCAAAUAUAAGUGGUAAUUUACUUAACAAUACCUUGCUCAAGAGGUUAAGCAAAGCUCUUUUUGCUAGUUUUUUUGGACUGAUAUGAGAUGUAAGAAAAUUCCUGCAUAGUUUACCAACUGUAGAACAAAUUUAUAUUUAUAUCUAGAUUUCGGCACUAUUUGUAAUAUAUACCGUAAAGUAUUAUUUUGUUAAUUGCACUGUAUUUUUCGAAAAAUGAUCUACUGUCAUCAUUCAAACCUUAGCAAUAAGCCAAUUUUCCAAACAUGUAGUCAUCAUUUUAACUGAAUAUGGUGCAAUGCGUUUGGGAUUUAUGUACGAAUGAGUUGUAUGUAGAGUAGAGAUGAGGUUUAUUAAUGUGUUCACAUUGAGGAAGAAAGAAGAGAAAGUUCAAGGAGAGCUUCACGACUUGGGAAGACCUUUCAUCUGUGACAGGUUGGAUGAAGAACACAGAACGCUCUGUUGAACUGCAUGCAACCAUGAAGUCCCUUCUGUGAAGACUUGCAUUGCUGACGUAAUCGUCUCUUGGUUGAGAGAUUGCCAAUGUCAUUACACCUCGUGGAUCACUCUGCACUGUUGUCGUUGUUGUUGUCCAUCCAUAUGACUGUAAUGAAGACAGCAGGAACCAUUUUUGACCUGUCAAGAUUCUUUCACCAUGUCUGAAGUUUCAUUUCCACCGUUUCAUUAGACCUCAGUUCCAUUGGUUAAAGUCAUUGUGCCAAGAAAAUGCCUUGUCUCGGGAAGGCCGUCUCUUAAAUUGAAAGAAUCUCAGUAGCAAAAUUGUUCAUAAUUGGCUGCGAACACAGAAGUCAAUAUUCUGAGGGGUUCUGUUGGUUUUUAUAUUUACUUGGUUAUGAAGAUAUCAUUGCAAGAGCAGCCGACUUUAGAUCCAAAUAAUCCAGAGAUUAGACGGGACUCUGUUCUUCAAGCAAGGGUACGAAGUGUUUUGCUUCAAAACAAAUCUCCCUUUUGAACACGGAUAGCCAAUGUUUUUGAUCAAGUAUUUCUGUCUCUGCUGAACAUCUUGGUGGUAGCUUGUCAGAAAACUGGACCAGUGAACAUAAGACGGCCCAACAGCACAACCAAGAGGUUUUUGGCCUGGUUGGUUUUCAAAUUACUCUGAAUGCCAGAAGGUUAAGAAACUGCAAAGUUAGUUUAUUUAUCUGGUUCAAAAGACUUGAUUUUGUUACGGCUGCAGACUCUGUUAUUUUGAGAACAUUGCUUCAAAGGUUUGUUACGCUCUUCAUCGAAAAUAUCGCAGAAUCCUGGAUAUGUUUUUAUCCCCGUUUAUUCCUGUGUGUGCAUGCGUUAUCCAGAGCCGUUGCUGUGACUGUAAACCGCAGGCUGAAGGGCAGUUUGUCGCAUUCAAGGAAGAACUCGGUUCUAAUAUCAUUGACAAAACUCGGUCCAUCAGGCUUCUCAUUUUCCGAUAGUGUUAUGUUUGUAUUUUUCGUAAAUACUGAAUUUUGUAAUUAGCUUAUAUUUUUGCAAUUACGAUAAUAUUAAAGACAGGAAUUAAAGUAUCCUACAAUCCUGGUCAGAUGGUGACGAGAUUUUACGCCUACCAACCCCCCUCCUACCCCGCAUAGUUCCGUGAUGAUAUCUUUGCUAAUUUAUUGCAUACCCAUCAACCUCUAAUAGGGAAAAAGGCGGCUGCUGGAUGCACGAUUCCAUAUGCAUGCUGCCUGGAAUAUUUAGGCGUUUGUCUCGACAACUGUGGCCAUGCCUGUAGGUGAAUUUUGAUAUCAACAGUAUAAAACUUAUUUACUUGGCAUCUUCUGUUGAAAUAGGUUCGCCGUUAGAAAUUCUUUUAGCGUCAUGCGGUCGUGAGACAGUAAACCCAGGCCUUCAGAAGGUUGUAUUUAGGGACUUAAUUGAAUUUUCGUUUAGCAAAUUUCUCUAACGUAAUAUAUGUAUUCUCGUCAAAUUUCAUUUUAGAUUAUGAUUCUAUAUUUGUAAUGUCUGACGUUCGAUGCUAGAAAGUUGCUAGUGAUCUCUAAUUUAAACUUAGAAAGCAGAAGCCAAAACCCAGCCAGACUCUCUUUUUCUCUAAACAUUUUUUUCUAUUUAGUCGACAAUCAUUUAAAAAAUAUCUAGCUUCACCUUGAUCUUUCAACAAGUGAGAAAGACAUGAAAAAGGCGAUUGGGGUUUUGAACGGCUUCUCGUUGUCUAUGUUUGUAUUAGCUAUAGUUUAUUACCAAUACCUAGAAAUUUUUGCAUUCUGCGCUAAAUAUUUAGAAAUACUAUUUUUCUUCGUAUUAUUAAAUUGUAUUAUAAAUGGA
Molecule: non-coding RNA, 11942 nt
Organism: Rhopilema esculentum
Lineage: Eukaryota; Metazoa; Cnidaria; Scyphozoa; Rhizostomeae; Rhizostomatidae
Source: RefSeq, a predicted model, not a curated record